This 420-nucleotide long non-coding RNA is filed under the name Carica papaya (papaya). RNAcentral's name for it is "long non-coding RNA (CPAP_LNC004511)". The record is from RNAcentral. Lineage: Eukaryota; Viridiplantae; Streptophyta; Magnoliopsida; Brassicales; Caricaceae.
AAGUAAAAUGUGGAAUGAAAGUUACGUUUAAAUCCAACUAAUAAUUAGACAAUAAACGACACAAUUUUAGCAACUAAUAGACAUUGUCACUAAAAGUCAAAAUGUCACUAACUAAAUAUACAGCAAAUAAAGGAAGCAACUUGUCCAUUUUUUUACUUGGAAAAAAAAAAUUAUUUAACUUUUAUAUCAGCAAAAAGAAAUAUAUAAGAAGCUGGAAAUAAAAUGUUCAUCUUUAUGUACUCAAACCUAAAGAAAAUUUGAUCUCCUUUACUAUAAGACAUCAAAGCUUCUAUCUUUGUAUUUGUUGCAUCUCAUUGCAGUCGCCAUCAAUCACCUCUCAUUAUUUACUAAAGCAUCAGUUCUCCUAAUCAAUCGUCAAUACUACAUUUUAAACAGUAAAUGUACUUCAUUUUAUUUAUU